This is an RNA transcript of Choloepus didactylus (southern two-toed sloth), 4203 nucleotides long. It is a transcript of the gene named SLAM family member 8, with no coding region annotated. The record is from RefSeq and is a predicted model, not a curated record. Lineage: Eukaryota; Metazoa; Chordata; Mammalia; Pilosa; Megalonychidae. The transcript is spliced from 6 exons.
GAAAGAGGCUGACUUACAAGAAUCUGUUCCUGAGAGAUCCAGGCUAGGCCUUCAGUCAAUUUCCACUUUCCUUUGGACAUUUUCACUUUCGGGGCAUCUUGUUCUGAGUCAAGAUUCCUCUUUCUGGACAUGGGACUUUCCAGAAGAACCACAGUUCCGUCCGUGCAUCCACUUGGCGUGGGAUGUUCUGGAUUUCGGUUGUUGAGGGAGUUUGCCUGCCUCUCCAGAGAAGGGUGGCAUGUGGUCCCUGCAGAGUCUGCUCCUCUGGAAAGCACUGCUGCCCAUGGCAGUUACUGGUACCCAACUGCAGGGGCAGGUGGGGGGCUCGGUGCUGCUGAUGGCAGAGCGCCCCCCUGGAUUCCAAGUCCGCGAGGCCAUCUGGCGAUCUCUCUGGCCUUCGGAGGAGCUUCUGGCGACGUUUUUCCGGGGCUCCCUGGAGACUCUGUACCACUCCCGCUUCCUGGGCCGAGUCCAGCUGCACAGCAACCUCAGCCUGGAGCUCCAGCCACUGAUGUCUGGAGACAGUGGCAACUUCUCUGUGUUGCUGGUGGACACGGAGGGCCGGGCCCAGACCCAGACCCUGCAGCUGAAAGUGUAUGAUGCAGUGCCCAGGCCCGUGGUACAAGUGUUCAUCACUAAAACAGGGGAUGCCCAGCCCCCCAAGACCUGCCAAGUCUUCCUGUCCUGCUGGGCCCCCAACGUCAGUGAUGUGACCUACAGCUGGCGACAGGAGGGGCACAUUGGCUUUGGUCUCGAACCCCAGGGCCUCUUCAUGGAUGGACAAGUGCUUAGGGUUUCACUGGGACCUGGAGACAAGGGCGUGGCCUAUUCCUGCAUUGUCUCCAACCCUGUCAGCUGGGACUUGGUCACCGUCACCCCCUGGGAAAGCUGUCUCCGUGGGGCAGCACCAGGAAAGUCCUCCUACAAAGACGUGCUGCUGGUGGCGGUGCCAAUCUCGCUGUUCCUGGUCCUGGCCGGUCUCUUCUCUGUCUGGCACUAUGGCCCCUGCUCAGGUAGGAGCCCUGUGAGUACAGCAGGGAAAAAAAAGAAGGAAGUCUGUGCUGAUGACGUAGCUCCAGAAACAGAGAAUCCCCUUGUCUAGGGCCUGUCACAAGGGAGGAUAUAAGCUGACACGUGGAUCAUCAGGAAACCCACUGCUCAGGCACAUGAAGCUCUGGGGCAUCGCCAGUGCCUGGAAACCACCACAGUCUUAACAUCUCCUGGGAAUGUGCCUCCUGCCUCCCAGGAGCAGCGUGGGCGGCCAUCCCACUGGGAGGACAAAAAGCACCAGCACAACCUUCCACAACGUCCCCCUUGUCUCUCCCCACUUUGCAUGUCCUGGCUCUGCUCUGGGCAACAGGAGACUAACAGGAAGUCCCCUCAAGGACUCUGGAAGUUUAGGAUCCACAGGGACAUUGAUUCCCCAGAGCAUUUGCAACCUACACCACUCUAUAUAAAAUAUUAACCAACUGGAACCAAAGGAUGGCCUCCUGCCUGGGUCCUGAGCGCCAAAGAACAUGAGACAUUUGAUCUAAAAGUGACACUCUAUAUCACCCACCUCCAGCCCCAGGUCCAGCCCCUUCAAUAUAAGAUCUUGAUGCCCCUGACGACCAAGGCCUUCUCAUAGGAAAAGAUCUGGGGAAAAUGUGAUGGCAAGGGGUAGGGGGUAGGGGUUUCUCUUUCUGGCUUGAAGGACUUUCAUGUCAUCUGAGUUCACAGCCUCUCAGAGGUGAUUUGCAGUUAUGGACAACCAGGGGAUGGUUGACAUCUCAUGGUUGGAGUGGAUGCCAUUUUGCAAGUAAUCCUUAUUAACAUGCUCUCCAUCCCCUCCUGAACCUCCUGCAGGAUCUGGGAAUGGGGGUUAAGUUUAUCUCCUCACUCUCUAACACAGAGAUCUGGAAGAGGAUUUGAAUUUGCUCUGCCAACAGUAAGUUCUUGCACAACUUCAAGAAAAUCAGCUCAGCUCAGGAUGUGUCUGUCUUUCUGCCUGAGCCUGAGAGAGUAAGAAGCCAGGAGCUAAGCAGAAGAAAAAUCACGCAGGGAAAGGUUGGGAAGCAUCCUGGAAUCUGCCACACUCAUUUUCAGAAGCAAGGGCAGAAGAUCCAUACAAGUUCAAGGGGACAAGGACCCUACCACUCAGUGGGAAGAUGUUAAGGCCACUUUGAAAGAAGAGUAUGUGAGAUGGAAGCUACUAUCAUGGCCACCUUGAGAAAAUGUGAACGGACAGUGAGUGAUUUCAUCUAGGAAAGCUCUGGGCUAUUGCCACUCUGGAAAAAACUUGAUGAACUAAACUCACAUUUUGGGAUUAGUAGCUGAUAAGGUUCUGGAUUACUCCUUCCCCAGAGUAACUGAUGUUUUCUGGGACUUCACUCAAGUCUUGAUUAUGGCGAGGAAGGAGGCAUUGAAGAAACAGAGGAUGCCCAUAUAGGGAUCCAUCGUCACCUGAAACUCAGCUUCUAUAAAAAUGAGCUCAGUGAUUUUGCCUCAGUUUCCCACUCGAUGUCCUGCUUUUGUCAAGGGCUUCAGUCGCCUCCCUAGUGCUGGGUGUCCAUCCUGCCUGUCCUUCUAAAAUGCAUCCAAGAAGCUGCUGAGUGCAAUGGACACCGAGGGGUGGUAGAAGGCCAUCUUGUACACUCCCCACCUGCAGUCCCAGGGACCACUCCCAAGCUCGUCCAGAUUUCCUUGCCGGUGCAGUCCCUGGUCUCACACUCUUCCCUUCAGCACAUUCUUUGUAAUCUAACAACAGUUUUGUUUUCACGCACUAGGAAUAAAUGAAAUAAGUACUCAAGAUGUACUGGAUGGAUAAAGAGUGUAAACUCCAGAGCAGGGGGUUUCCCAGACUCCCACCAAGUGAGGGGAGCAAGCCGUGAGGAGGCUCCAUUUCCUAGGAAUCUUCUGGGGACAAGGUUAAAGUUCCAAUCCAGUCCCCGAUCUUCAGGAAAGCCACAGCAUAAACCCAUACAUGUCAAGUAGUUUCAUAACCCUGGAAGGACAGUGGUUGGGUAAUUCCCAAAACUCCCUUUUUUCCAGUGAGGUGAAAGAACUGAUCUCCACCCCCUCAGAGUCACCACACUCUGACUAGACCUAGAGUAAUUGAAAUGUGUCAGAGCAGCAUGCAUGCUAGUAGUUAUUCCAAUCAGAGUACAUAAAAGAAAAUUCAUUGUGACUCCAUGCCACUUAUGGUCUUGAGAAUUAGGGUCUUAAAAGAUGAUGACUAGAAGAUGACUUCCUUAAGCCUGGGAAGGAGGAUCAGAGAAGAAACUGAGUCAGUGAGGACUCAGAAGAGUCUCCUGAGGCUGGGUGCCCUCAGAGACAGAUUCAGGGAAAUUCUACAGAUGCCAAGUUAGGUUUCUGAUGCCCACUACUACAGUGGCCUAGAACCAAGGAGAUAUAAAUUAUCUAACUAAUUUUUUGGUAACCAGGAACUAGAAGUCAGCUUCAGCAAGACUGGAAAGAGAUGCAAACAGCAUAACCAGGAAAAGGAAUCGAGACAAACAACUUUGUGAUGUUUGUGUCUCUAGGAAAAAUAAAGAAAAAUCAGGACUGUACUUGUGUUUCCAUCUCUUGAGGGAGCCCUUGUGUGCACAGACUUCUUUUGUCUGAUGACAUGUUCGAACUAAAUUUUCCAAGCUGGUUUUUAAAUACAGCCAUUAUUAAAGAUUAAAUCCUAUCAACUUACAAUGAAAUGAAUCAUAUUAAACACAAAGGUGAUAAACACUCAAAACUCCUCAUUUCCUAUUUAUUUGACUACUGUUUACUAUUAUCUAAGCUCUUGAGUUUAUUUCCUUCCAUUGUGCCUGUAUUACGGAAAUACCAUACAAUGGUGAGCUGCUGCAUAUUUCUUCCAAGUCAACACCAGACAUCAUGUCAUAGCUUGAAAUCAGCCAUGAUGGGAGUAUUUAUAUCAUGGAAAUUGGCAAAUGCUACAAAUCAGGGCUUCCCCUCUCCCUCAUCAAAAGCCAACAGUUGUUGAUCACCAUACUGUGACUGCUAGAAGAAUUUCCUUAUUCUUGGAAAAUACAUACUGAAGUAUUUAUGAGAAAAAGGCCAAUAGGUAUGCAACUUACUUUCAAAUCAUUCAGAAAAAAAAUAGAGAGAGAGAAUAAUAAAACAAAUGGGAUAAAAUGUUGAUGACAGGAGAUUCUGGGUAAAGGGUAUAUAGUUUUGUUUUGUUUUGUUUUUUUUGUACUAUUCUUAUUCUUG